GCCAGUGCGGGGUGCUUACCAUGCAAGUCGAACGGAAAGGCCCUUCGGGGUACUCGAGUGGCGAACGGGUGAGUAACACGUGGGUGAUCUGCCCUGCACUUUGGGAUAAGCCUGGGAAACUGGGUCUAAUACCGAAUAGGACCGCGCUCUUCAUGGGGUGUGGUGGAAAGCUUUUGCGGUGUGGGAUGGGCCCGCGGCCUAUCAGCUUGUUGGUGGGGUAAUGGCCUACCAAGGCGACGACGGGUAGCCGGCCUGAGAGGGUGACCGGCCACACUGGGACUGAGAUACGGCCCAGACUCCUACGGGAGGCAGCAGUGGGGAAUAUUGCACAAUGGGCGCAAGCCUGAUGCAGCGACGCCGCGUGAGGGAUGACGGCCUUCGGGUUGUAAACCUCUUUCAAUAGGGACGAAGCGCAAGUGACGGUACCUAUAGAAGAAGGACCGGCCAACUACGUGCCAGCAGCCGCGGUAAUACGUAGGGUCCGAGCGUUGUCCGGAAUUACUGGGCGUAAAGAGCUCGUAGGUGGUUUGUCGCGUUGUUCGUGAAAACUCACAGCUUAACUGUGGGCGUGCGGGCGAUACGGGCAGACUAGAGUACUGCAGGGGAGACUGGAAUUCCUGGUGUAGCGGUGGAAUGCGCAGAUAUCAGGAGGAACACCGGUGGCGAAGGCGGGUCUCUGGGCAGUAACUGACGCUGAGGAGCGAAAGCGUGGGGAGCGAACAGGAUUAGAUACCCUGGUAGUCCACGCCGUAAACGGUGGGUACUAGGUGUGGGUUUCCUUCCUUGGGAUCCGUGCCGUAGCUAACGCAUUAAGUACCCCGCCUGGGGAGUACGGCCGCAAGGCUAAAACUCAAAGGAAUUGACGGGGGCCCGCACAAGCGGCGGAGCAUGUGGAUUAAUUCGAUGCAACGCGAAGAACCUUACCUGGGUUUGACAUGCACAGGACGCCAGUAGAGAUAUUGGUUCCCUUGUGGCCUGUGUGCAGGUGGUGCAUGGCUGUCGUCAGCUCGUGUCGUGAGAUGUUGGGUUAAGUCCCGCAACGAGCGCAACCCUUGUCUCAUGUUGCCAGCACGUUAUGGUGGGGACUCGUGAGAGACUGCCGGGGUCAACUCGGAGGAAGGUGGGGAUGACGUCAAGUCAUCAUGCCCCUUAUGUCCAGGGCUUCACACAUGCUACAAUGGCCGGUACAAAGGGCUGCGAUGCCGUGAGGUGGAGCGAAUCCUUUCAAAGCCGGUCUCAGUUCGGAUCGGGGUCUGCAACUCGACCCCGUGAAGUCGGAGUCGCUAGUAAUCGCAGAUCAGCAACGUUGCGACCGCUAAA
RNAcentral lists this ribosomal RNA (1320 nucleotides) under Mycolicibacterium porcinum. Its description in RNAcentral is "bacterial SSU rRNA". It matches the Rfam family "Bacterial small subunit ribosomal RNA", at positions 35 to 1370 of the family's 1533-position model. The record is from RNAcentral. Lineage: Bacteria; Bacillati; Actinomycetota; Actinomycetes; Mycobacteriales; Mycobacteriaceae.